AAUAAACCUCUUCAAAAUUGGUGCAGUGGCUGUCCCCGCCCUGAAAACCGAGUUUGGUUUCGAGCCACUCUGGAAUAUAUGGAGGCGCCGGAGGACCAGUGGAAGGUGUCAUCCAGAUGACAGCCUCACAAUUCGCAGCCUUUGUGCUCUCCAUCAGAAACCCAUCAGGGGCAAGCCACUUAUGUUUGCCUUGAGACAAGACAACAUUGAAGCAGGAUUCCAGCACAGCCAUCUCCUGCACUUAUGGUCAAGAUGCUCAGACAAUGGAGUCCCUGUUCCUUGUGGUUAACCGUGAACAGUAUUCUCGCUUUUAUGAAAGCUAAAGGUGAUUUCCUGCAUAAAUUAGAAUUUUGCAGCUCAAAUGUAUACACUUUAUUCUAAUUUGAAUCAACUAAUAUAUGCUGUUUAAUACUUUUAUACUGUUUGAUACAAUCAUUUCUUGUUGGAAAAUAUUAAACAUGAUGUUUAACAUUUAUUUAUGCAUUACUGGCUGAUGCAUGAUGGCCUGUGUUUAAAAAAUGUGAACUCACACAUUUGAAGCUUCAUUCAUAACCAGAGUAUGGCUGAUUUAAUAAACAUUAUUUGCUCAUUUAUGUACAAGCCCUAAUCUUCCAUUAUCGCACCAAGUACAAAUAAUUUAGAAAUCGGCAAUGUAUCAUCCGCAUGUGGCCAGUAGAGUACCUUAAUGAACAGUGGUUUGUUUUUAUAAGGCCGCCAUUGAUACGGCGCUUCGCACCUAAACAGUAAUAAAUCUGGCAUAUUUAGGCUGUCUUGCAGUAGACAAAAAAAAACAUUUUCAAGCAACAUAUUUUAUAACAGACCAUGGAUUGUCUUCGCAUUACAAAAUUUAAGGAAACCAGAAUUGUAAUUGGAAAAUCUGCUACACAGCAUUUUUAGCUCAGAGAACUCUAUUUACAUUUAAAAAAAUGAUUUAGGUGGGAAAAAAUUUUCUUGCUCAAGGAAUCUUGUUGAGGAGCGAAAAUUCAUCUUGAUGCUCCUGGAUCAAACCUUAUUUAAAGCAAGUUCAUGUGUGAAACAUACGGUGUUUCAGUAUAUAAAAAAUGUGCGCCAGUCAAGCUUUAUAUCGACUUUCCAAAUCAGCUUUUCACAAUGAUUUGCCAUGACAUUGGUGUACAAAAUAACAGGGUGUGUUUGUGUGCUUGCUCUGCAUUUCAUGUA
Dermacentor silvarum is the source of this 1179-nucleotide long non-coding RNA. RefSeq lists it as uncharacterized. The transcript has 3 exons. Lineage: Eukaryota; Metazoa; Arthropoda; Arachnida; Ixodida; Ixodidae. The record is from RefSeq and is a predicted model, not a curated record.